GGCAGACGGGUGAGUAACAUGUGGGUAUCUGCCCUUUGGCCUGGAAUAACACGAGGAAACUUGUGCUAAUACUGGAUAAGUCUUUACGGAGAAAGCUUUAUGCACCAUUGGAUGAGCCUGCACUUGAUUAGUUUGUUGGUGGGGUAAUGGCCUACCAAGACUUUGAUCAAUAGCUGAUUUGAGAGGAUGAUCAGCCACAUUGGGACUGAGACACGGCCCAAACUCCUACGGGAGGCAGCAGUGGGGAAUCUUGCACAAUGGAGGAAACUCUGAUGCAGCGAUGCCGCGUGAGUGAAGAAGGCCUUUGGGUCGUAAGGCUCUUUCGUCGGGGAAGAAAAUGACUGUACCCGAAUAAGAAGGUCCGGCUAACUUCGUGCCAGCAGCCGCGGUAGUACGAAGGGACCUAGCGUAGUUCGGAAUUACUGGGCUUAAAGAGUUCGUAGGUUGUUGAAAAAGUUGGUGGUGAAAUCCCAGAGCUUAACUCUGGAACUGCCAUCGAAACUUUUCAGCUAGAGUUUGAUAGAGGAAAGCAGAAUUUCUAGUGUAGAGGUGAAAUUCGUAGAUAUUAGAAAGAAUACCAAUUGCGAAGGCAGCUUUCUGGAUCAUUACUGACACUGAGGAACGAAAGCAUGGGUAGCGAAGAGGAUUAGAUACCCUCGUAGUCCAUGCCGUAAACGAUGUGUGUUAGACGUUGGAAAUUUAUUUUCAGUGUCGCAGUGAAAGCGAUAAACACAC
RNAcentral lists this ribosomal RNA (735 nucleotides) under uncultured marine bacterium. RNAcentral's name for it is "bacterial SSU rRNA". It matches the Rfam family "Bacterial small subunit ribosomal RNA", at positions 97 to 869 of the family's 1533-position model. The record is from RNAcentral.